Molecule: ribosomal RNA, 254 nt
Filed under: uncultured bacterium
Lineage: Bacteria
Description: partial 16S ribosomal RNA
Rfam family: Bacterial small subunit ribosomal RNA
Source: RNAcentral
GACGUAGGGCGCGAGCGUUGUCCGGAUUUAUUGGGCGUAAAGAGCUCGUAGGCGGCUUGUUGCGUCGACUGUGAAAACCCGUGGCUCAACCAUGUGGUCUGCAGUCGAUACGGGCAGGCUAGAAUUCGGUAGGGGAGACUGGAAUUCCUGGUGUAGCGGUGAAAUGCGUAGAUAUCAAGUGGAACACCAGUGGCGAAGGCGAGUCCCUGGACACUUCCUGACACUGAGGCACGAAAGCUAGGGGAGCAAACAGG